CAUAUAGUUGAAGAUAAGAGUGGAUAACUAAAUAAUUGGUAGCUUGUUGAGGCUUUUCAUCACAUGGCCUGAUGUCCAGAUUAAAGAAGACUCCACAGGUACGGCCUUAAUAUAAUUGGGGGCCGUGGCUUAAAAAUACAUUAAAAUCAUAUUUCAUAAGGUUUAUCAACAAGUUAUAUCGGCUGGAGCUAAGUCUCUAGGGCAGUAUAUUUCCAUUGUUCAAGCAGAAGCUUGGGCUCUGCAUGAGGGCAUCAAAGGAGCCCUUUCGCUGAAUAUCUCUAAGUUGGUGGUGGAAGGGUUGGAUGCUGCUCUAUUUUCGGAGUGUCGCUUCUGUCACUGCUUCCGUGAGGCAAAUCGGGCGGCAGAUUUUAUGGCUAAAAAGGCGCAUUCUUACUCCUCGCUGUUAUAUUGGUUUCCCCCUUACUGUCUGGAUUUUUCCCUUAUCAUCCGUAAGGAUGUUUUAGGUUGGCCGCCUGAUUAAUGGGUGGUUUGCCUAAGUUUUUUCUCCUUAUCAAAAAAAAAAAAAAUCAACAA
This is a long non-coding RNA of Beta vulgaris subsp. vulgaris (sugar beet), 534 nucleotides long. RefSeq lists it as uncharacterized. The record is from RefSeq and is a predicted model, not a curated record. Lineage: Eukaryota; Viridiplantae; Streptophyta; Magnoliopsida; Caryophyllales; Amaranthaceae. The transcript is spliced from 2 exons.